UUAGAGCCAGCCUGUACCAUUAAGUAAUUAUAUUAAAUGUAGAAUCCAUUCAGGAAAACAGGUCUGUCUGCCUGCCUUUUGGUUUAUAUUGCCUUUUCUGCUUUUCCCCCUGUGAGUUGGUUAAAGGUGCCAAGAUGAUUGAAUCUUUUCUGCCUCAAGAGAGGCAGUUUGAGCUUUGAACCCUAACCCAUUUGGGACCAUAUGGCUCUCGUUCUCCCACUGCCAAUGUACCUGCCUUGCUGUUUGGCCUGAUUUGGCCAAAGGGCAUGUUUUGUUUUCUUAAAAACCUGUUAAAUUCAUACCACAUCCUACUCUUUGAGUCAUCAUCAAUCCCCUCCAUUUCCCCUUCUGUUUUCCGCCUUAUUGUUCAUCUUUACUAAGCAAGCAAAGUGGGACAUCAAAUCAGGUAAUCAGCGUCAGACAACCAAUUCCUGGAAAGCAGAUGUGGCCAUAAGGCUUUCCUAGGUAUACAGCACUCAGAAAUGCUGCCCACAGAAGAAAACAACCAAUGAGCUUGUGGUGAUAGAGCAGUGCCCCCAGCACGCACACACCAUGAGCGAUACGCACAUUGUUAUCCGGCUGCUCUGGGUGCAUCAACUGCAUGUGCAGAGCCCACAAGACCCUCGCUACUGCCUCCAGUCCCCACACACCUCUUCAGCAGGGAAACUAUUGCGACACGCCAACCGUGACUUCACCCACUCCAGCAUAAAGACUGAAAGACAAGGAAGUUUUCAAAGGAGAAUUCCCCUUGCUAGCAUGAUGCCACCGCCUGCUGAAGGCAAUACUCAUGGAGAAGAAAAGCAGCCGCAUGAAAUUGUUCAGAUCUUAAAAUAUUCGUCUGAUCCAGCUGGUCCAUCAGAGAAAACAAAUGGAUUUCUGUACACUUAUCUUCAGCGGAGGCAAAUUCUCCCCAUCCUUGUUCUCACUUAAUUUUGAAUGUGUCUG
This is a non-coding RNA of Pogona vitticeps (central bearded dragon), 945 nucleotides long. The record is from RefSeq and is a predicted model, not a curated record. NCBI's taxonomy places the organism in Eukaryota, Metazoa, Chordata, Lepidosauria, Squamata, Agamidae.